Long non-coding RNA from Portunus trituberculatus (swimming crab), 851 nucleotides. RefSeq lists it as uncharacterized. NCBI's taxonomy places the organism in Eukaryota, Metazoa, Arthropoda, Malacostraca, Decapoda, Portunidae. The transcript has 4 exons. The record is from RefSeq and is a predicted model, not a curated record.
AGGAUGGCAGUACCCGCGUGGAAGGCCGAGGUGGCAGUGAGUGGUGGUGUUUGGCUUUGUGCGUUCCAUGAGUCUGUGAAAUUGAGCUGCAGCGCGUCAUUCAUCAACACAGAGGCGAUGGCGUUGAUAAAGGAACCAUCGUGUGCCUCUCCACCUGCCCGCCCUCUACCUCACGUCGCCUAGCAGAAGCAGAUGUGACGCAUUGAGAGGACCAGGCGUGACGAAAAUGUGAAAAAAAGGAAAAUCUGGCGUUGUCAAUGAAGUGACUGACCCUUAGCGACAGGUGUGCUGGUGAUGUCAUGGUCAACAAACUGGCCGAAGGUGAGGUGGAGAAAAGAGAAGCAAGUGGCGGCGCUUUUCCGAUUCCUGUUGAUGGUGGCACUAACCAGACGAGCGCUGGGCAGUGGCUUUCCGUCCUGUGCCCUACGAAGGCUCAUCACUCCUGCAAUACACGCACACACACACACACAAUUCAAUUCAAUUCAAUUUUAUUGACCACGACAACAAAUUUUAAUACAGCUAAAGGAAUGGUCUAGAAAAAUAGACAAAGUGUUAACGAUCUCGUUACACAAACAAAAUCACCAUACAUUACCUUUUCAAGCAUGACAAGACAAUAUUAUUAUCACAGUAACUCACAAAAUAAAACAAACAAACAAGCAAACUAAAGAAAAUAAGAAAGUUCUCUUAAAGCUACCACUCAGAGAAUACACAAAGCUUAAUCUUAGGAAAUAUAUUCAAAAGACAAACAAAAAACAAAAAAACCGUUAAACUAACCACAUAAAACUAAAAUUUUGUAAACAAUAAAAUUAAUAAAACCCAGUAAACUUACAUUAAUUCCUAAAACUUUGAAA